RNAcentral lists this microRNA (23 nucleotides) under Petromyzon marinus (sea lamprey). RNAcentral's name for it is "pma-miR-22a-5p". Its record names the gene pma-miR-22a-5p. Lineage: Eukaryota; Metazoa; Chordata; Hyperoartia; Petromyzontiformes; Petromyzontidae. The record is from miRBase by way of RNAcentral.
AGCCCUUCGCUGGCCAGCUUUAG